AUUGAACGCUGGCGGCAUGCCUUACACAUGCAAGUCGAACGGCAGCAUGAUCUAGCUUGCUAGAUUGAUGGCGAGUGGCGAACGGGUGAGUAAUACAUCGGAACGUGCCCUGUAGUGGGGGAUAACUAGUCGAAAGAUUAGCUAAUACCGCAUACGACCUGAGGGUGAAAGUGGGGGACCGCAAGGCCUCAUGCUAUAGGAGCGGCCGAUGUCUGAUUAGCUAGUUGGUGAGGUAAAGGCUCACCAAGGCGACGAUCAGUAGCUGGUCUGAGAGGACGAUCAGCCACACUGGGACUGAGGCACGGCCCAGACUCCUACGGGAGGCAGCAGUGGGGAAUUUUGGACAAUGGGCGAAAGCCUGAUCCAGCAAUGCCGCGUGUGUGAAGAAGGCCUUCGGGUUGUAAAGCACUUUUGUCCGGAAAGAAAUGGCUCUGGUUAAUACCUGGGGUCGAUGACGGUACCGGAAGAAUAAGGACCGGCUAACUACGUG
RNAcentral lists this ribosomal RNA (490 nucleotides) under uncultured bacterium. RNAcentral describes it as "partial 16S ribosomal RNA". It matches the Rfam family "Bacterial small subunit ribosomal RNA", at positions 30 to 507 of the family's 1533-position model. The record is from RNAcentral.